UUGACGGGGCCGCACAAGCGGUGGAGCAUGUGGUUAAUUCGAAGCAACGCGAAGAACCUUACCAGGUCUUGACAUCCCUGACAACCCGAGAGAUCGGGCGUUCCCCUUCGGGGGACAGGGUGACAGGUGGUGCAUGGUUGUCGUCAGCUCGUGUCGUGAGAUGUUGGGUUAAGUCCCGCAACGAGCGCAACCCUCGACCUUAGUUGCCAGCAUUCAGUUGGGCACUCUAAGGUGACUGCCGGCUAAAAGUCGGAGGAAGGUGGGAUGACGUCAAAUCAUCAUGCCCCUUAUGACCUGGGCUACACACGUGCUACAAUGGCCAGUACAGACGGACGCAAAGCCGCGAGGUGGAGCAAAUCCUAAAAAGCCGGUCUCAGUUCGGAUUGCAGGCUGCAAUUCGCCUGCAUGAAGUCGGAAUCGCUAGUAAUCGCAGGUCAGCAUACUGCGGUGAAUACGUUCCCGGGCCUU
Molecule: ribosomal RNA, 468 nt
Filed under: uncultured Anoxybacillus sp.
Lineage: Bacteria; Bacillati; Bacillota; Bacilli; Caryophanales; Anoxybacillaceae
Description: bacterial SSU rRNA
Rfam family: Bacterial small subunit ribosomal RNA
Source: RNAcentral